AUGGAUAAUUAUCUCUUUAUCUCGUCUGUAGAGAUGUCUGUCUUCAAAGCUGACGUCUUCUCCUUGCCCUUGGAUCUGGAAUUAGAUAAUGGGAAUCUGUUGGAGGAGGCUGACCAUGUUUCACAAUCUCUUUCCCAGCAUCAGGCUACAGACUGGAAGUUUGUGUUGCUUUUUGUUCCGGCAGAUUCUCAGUGGUCCCGCACACAGCAGGCAGCCAUGGAACCUGAAACUAUGGUGAGAGAGGUGGAGGCAGCUCUGAAGAUAUUGAAGAAAAAGCUGCAUCGCACAUUGGUUCAUACGGUCGUCUGGAGCGGGCCCAUUGCAUUGGAAAACCACCAGCUUGCAACUGAUAUCAGCAUGAAGCAACGAAUCCGAAGAGCUUUAGAUGUACAGACACUACAGGACUCUCUUCAGCGUGCCAUGGAAAGAUUUAGUGAGCGUGAAGACUUUGCCGUCCUGCUGCAUCCAAAACCGAUUAUCUUGGGUCCAACCCUGGAUUCAGUAAGAAGGGGACCUACAUGA
This 522-nucleotide long non-coding RNA is filed under the name Gadus morhua (Atlantic cod). Its description in RNAcentral is "lncRNA (ENSGMOG00000027843.1)". Lineage: Eukaryota; Metazoa; Chordata; Actinopteri; Gadiformes; Gadidae. The record is from RNAcentral.